Molecule: non-coding RNA, 207 nt
Organism: Cinara cedri
Lineage: Eukaryota; Metazoa; Arthropoda; Insecta; Hemiptera; Aphididae
Source: the annotation of a GenBank genome assembly
ACGUUAUUACUUAUUAGUUAUUUCUUCAUUGCUUUGAGAGUUGGAAUCUCUGCUAUUCGUAUUAUCAUAGAUCGUUUGACUAGUACACAGCCAUAUCUAUACCGUUGUGGUUUGCUUCUGUAAGGCCCUUUUCAUUGCAGGUGAUUGGACACUUGCAGUUUAUUGUUUGCUCCUCACCAUAUUUACAUAGCUCCGAUGAGUCUUCUA